GAUGAACGCUGACAGAAUGCUUAACACAUGCAAGUCAACUGUGGCGGACGGGUGAGUGACGCGUAAAGAACUUGCCUCACAGCUAGGGACACCAUUUGGAAACGAAUGCUAAUACCUGAUACUGUGAGAGAGCUUUGCGUCCCAUUAGCUAGUGGGAGAGGUAACGGCUCACAAAGGCGAUGAUGGGUAGCCGGCCUGAGAGGGUGAUCGGCCACAAGGGGACUGGGGCACGGCCAGUACUGCUACGUGAGGCAGCAGUGGGGAAUAUUGGACAAUGGACCAAAGUCUGAUCCAGCAAUUCUGGGUGCAUGAUGAAGUUUUCGGAAUGUAAAGUGCUUUCAGUUGGGAAGCGGUACCAACAGAAGAAGUGACGGCUAAAUACGUGCCAGCAGCCGCGGUAAUAC
Molecule: ribosomal RNA, 404 nt
Filed under: uncultured bacterium
Lineage: Bacteria
Description: partial 16S ribosomal RNA
Rfam family: Bacterial small subunit ribosomal RNA
Source: RNAcentral